Molecule: ribosomal RNA, 261 nt
Filed under: uncultured Leptotrichia sp.
Lineage: Bacteria; Fusobacteriati; Fusobacteriota; Fusobacteriia; Fusobacteriales; Leptotrichiaceae
Description: partial 16S ribosomal RNA
Rfam family: Bacterial small subunit ribosomal RNA
Source: RNAcentral
ACGGGUGGAGUAACGCGUAAGAAACUUAGCCCUUUAGACUGGGAGUAACAAGAGGGAAAACGUUACUGAUAAUAACUGGAUAAGUUAGUAUAUCGCAUGAUAUGCAAAUGAAAGCUACGGCACUAAAGGAGAGCUUUGCGUCCUAUUAGCUAGUUGGUAAGGUAAGAGCUUACCAAGGCGAUGAUAGGUAGCCGGCCUGAGAGGGUGGACGGCCACAAGGGGACUGAGAUACGGCCCUUACUCCUACGGGAGGCAGCAGUU